Molecule: transfer RNA, 73 nt
Filed under: Marmota monax (woodchuck)
Lineage: Eukaryota; Metazoa; Chordata; Mammalia; Rodentia; Sciuridae
Description: tRNA.Ala
Source: RNAcentral
GGGUUGUAGCUCAGUGGUACAGUACUUGCCUAGCAUGUGUGAGGUACUGGGUUCAAUCCUCAGCACCAGUUCA